RNAcentral lists this ribosomal RNA (685 nucleotides) under uncultured bacterium. RNAcentral's name for it is "bacterial SSU rRNA". It matches the Rfam family "Bacterial small subunit ribosomal RNA", at positions 90 to 729 of the family's 1533-position model. The record is from RNAcentral.
GGCGAGUGGCGAACGGGUGAGUAAUACAUCGGGAACGUGUCCUAGAGUGGGGGAUAGCCCGGCGAAAGCCGGAUUAAUACCGCAUACGCUCGAGAGAGGAAAGCGGGGGAUCUUCGGACCUCGCGCUCAAGGGGCGGCCGAUGUCGGAUUAGCUAGUUGGUAGGGUAAAGGCCUACCAAGGCGACGAUCCGUAGCUGGUCUGAGAGGACGACCAGCCACACUGGGACUGAGACACGGCCCAGACUCCUACGGGAGGCAGCAGUGGGGAAUUUUGGACAAUGGGGGCAACCCUGAUCCAGCAAUGCCGCGUGUGUGAAGAAGGCCUUCGGGUUGUAAAGCACUUUUGUCCGGAAAGAAAUCCUCUGGGUUAAUACCUCGGGGGGAUGACGGUACCGGAAGAAUAAGCACCGGCUAACUACGUGCCAGCAGCCGCGGUAAUACGUAGGGUGCGAGCGUUAAUCGGAAUUACUGGGCGUAAAGCGUGCGCAGGCGGUUUGCUAAGACCGAUGUGAAAUCCCCGGGCUUAACCUGGGAACUGCAUUGGUGACUGGCAAGCUAGAGUGCGGCAGAGGGGGAUGGAAUUCCGCGUGUAGCAGUGAAAUGCGUAUUCACACAGGAAACCACAUAUGGUCGACCUGAGUUUGAUCCCGGCUCAGGGUCAGCUUAACGCGUGAAGUUGACCCGC